AUUGAACGCUGGCGGCAUGCCUUACACAUGCAAGUCGAACGGUAACGGGCUAAGCGGUGGCGUCGCGUGGGGGAGGGGUGUGUAAUGGAACGGACCCUGCCCGGGCGGGGGGGUUAACGAGACAACAGCUUAUCUAAUAUCCCACCCGAGCUAGGAAGCGGAGGAGGGGAAGGCCAGGCCUGGUUGGGACGGCGGGGACGAUGGCAGAUUAGGUAGUUGGUGAGGUAAAAGCUUACCAAGCCGACGAUCUGUAGCUGGUCUGAGAGGACGAUCAGCCACACUGGGACUGAGACACGGCCCAGACUCCUACGGGAGGCAGCAGUGGGGAAUUUUGGACAAUGGGCGCAAGCCUGAUCCAGCCAUGCCGCGUGCAGGAUGAAGGCCUUCGGGUUGUAAACUGCUUUUGUAAGGAAAGAAAAGCCUUCUUUUAAUACCGGAGGGUCAUGACGGUACCGUAAGAAUAAGCACCGGCUAACUACGUG
Molecule: ribosomal RNA, 482 nt
Filed under: uncultured bacterium
Lineage: Bacteria
Description: partial 16S ribosomal RNA
Rfam family: Bacterial small subunit ribosomal RNA
Source: RNAcentral